ACUCCUACGGGAGGCAGCAGUGGGGAAUCUUGGACAAUGGGCGCAAGCCUGAUCCAGCCAUGCCGCGUGAGUGAUGAAGGCCUUAGGGUCGUAAAGCUCUUUCGCCAGGGAUGAUAAUGACAGUACCUGGUAAAGAAACCCCGGCUAACUCCGUGCCAGCAGCCGCGGUAAUACGGAGGGGGUUAGCGUUGUUCGGAAUUACUGGGGCGUAAAGCGCGCGUAGGCGGACCAGAAAGUUGGGGGUGAAAUCCCGGGGGCUCAACCCCGGAACUGCCUCCAAAACUCCUGGUCUAGAGUUCGAGAGAGGUGAGUGGAAUUCCGAGUGUAGAGGUGAAAUUCGUAGAUAUUCGGAGGAACACCAGUGGCGAAGGCGGCUCACUGGCUCGAUACUGACGCUGAGGUGCGAAAGUGUGGGGAGCAAACAGGAUUAGAUACCCUGGUAGGAUAGCG
Molecule: ribosomal RNA, 450 nt
Filed under: uncultured bacterium
Lineage: Bacteria
Description: bacterial SSU rRNA
Rfam family: Bacterial small subunit ribosomal RNA
Source: RNAcentral